RNAcentral lists this long non-coding RNA (3784 nucleotides) under Medicago truncatula (barrel medic). RNAcentral's name for it is "long non-coding RNA (MTRU_LNC005822)". The record is from RNAcentral. Lineage: Eukaryota; Viridiplantae; Streptophyta; Magnoliopsida; Fabales; Fabaceae.
AUAGAGUACUUGCCAAUACAGUUGGUCCAAGAAUAUCUGUUGCAUGCUUUUUCUCGACGGGACUUAAAGCAUCCUCAAAGCUCUAUGGACCAAUGAAGGAACUGUUAUCAGAAGACAAUCCUCCUAAAUACAAAGAAACUACUGUUGCUGAUUAUGUAGCCUACUACUUUCGAGCAAAAGGAGUAGAUGGUACUUCUGCACUUGAACAUUACAAAAUUUGAACUGAGCAAUGUGGUAGAAAAAACAUUAGCUCGUAUAAAUAAUUGUCAGAUCUUUGUGAGUUGGUUUCAUCAAUUCCACUUGAUUGUGAAUUUGUGAUAUGAACUCAUAAACAUGAUGUGGUUUUUAUUUCAUCCAAUGGAUGAAUUACAAUGUAUAAACAUUCACUUAUUGAACAAAAUGUUUUAUUUAUCAUAACCCUCCAGUUUGGAGAGAAAGGUUCCAUAGUAAUUCAGAGUUCAGUUGAGAGGUAAGUAAAGUAUAACCAAGAAUUGUCCCAGCCAUGAUUUGAACUAGAGCUCUCCCAAACUAUUCGUCUUUAACUGAGAGACAAAUGUUGAUUGCUUAUGUUAGAUUAUUGUUUUCCUAGUAAACUUGCUUUAGCUCGAUUAUUGUCUAAAAAUCGUUAUUGUUAUUAUUAAAUGAAAGAUCAUUGAUCAUAUAAAUACGAAGUAAAAUACAAAUUUAAGUAUUGGUUUUGAAUCCUAAUUGAAGUUAAUCAAAACCAUUAACAUAAAUCUGUUUAUAAAAUUUAAAUAAGCUUGAUUCAUUAAAUUAGAAUUGCAGAAUGUGUAUCAUAUUAAUGAGGAAAGUUGGUUCUGGUGCCAAUAUUGAUGAGACUUUGUCCCACAGUUCUACAACCACCUCAAUGAAGAUAACAGGUGCCCGUGUGUUUGUCAAUGUUACGUAGCUCUCCAUAAUUUUUACCUUAAUUGUAAUUUGUAACUCAUUUAUUAAAUGUGUCAUUGGUCCCUGCACUUUCAUCAGAUUUUGGCAUUGGUUCCUGCACUAUUUUUUGUUUGGCAUUGGUCCCUGCACUUUGUAAAAAUAUUGAAAUUGGUCCCUUUGUUAACUUUAUGUUAAAAAAAAAAUACACAAAACCAACGGAGUGCCACGUGACCCAAUCAUUUCACGCCACGUGGCACCAAUAUCAAUAUUUUUACAAAGUGUAUGGACCAAUACCAAUAUUUUUACAAAGUACAGGGACCAAUACCAAUAGUUUUGUGUUUUUUUUUUAACAGAAAGUUAAUAGAGGGACCAAUACCAAUAUUUUUACAAAGUACAGGGACCAAUUUCAAACAAAAAAAAAGUGUAGGGACCAAUGCCAAAAUCUGAUGAAAAUGCAAGGACUAAAGGUAUAUUUAAACCAAAUAUUUGAGUCCACAUAUUUGUAGGAAUAGAUCCUUUGUUUACAAUAGCAAUGUUGAUAUUUAUAGCUCUCCGGCACUCAAUUGGAGGGAUAGUUUUAGUUGUUACUUGGCUCCUGAUACUCCAAAACCAGAAGAUUUUCCCGCAGUAUGUUUGUAUUCAUGUGUAUAAAAUUUAUGCACUCCUUGAACUGUGGUUAUUAUCGUUUGUGGCACUGACACUUCAGUUUAAAGGUGUGUCCAGUUUCUAACACACAUCAUUUUUGCUAUAUUUUCAAAUCAUUAAUGGUGUCCACUUGUCAUUAUCAAUGCCUUCGGUGCUCGUGUAUAUGUUAGUCUUUCAUAAGACGUAAGUUAAGGUACUCAAACUUGGACUUUUUUUUUGGGUGAAUUGCAGUGAGACCACAUAUAUCAUUGCAUAUUUAAUUGGAGUUAUUACUUUGAUAUUCUUAUUUUAAGAUGUAUUUAUUAAUGAAAUAUAGCUUUCAUGUGUACUAGAAAUGCAUAUAUCAAUUCUGUUGAAUCCCCAUGAGAGGCAUACCUCAGUUGGUGAGGACAUUACAAUAUGCAAGGCCGGGGUUUGAAUAUGGGAUUCCCCACUUAUUCAUUCAACAAAAUAAAACAAAUAACUAUUAGGAUAAAUAUCAACUGAUACAAAAUAUGAAAGAUCUAAAAUUGAAUUUAGUCCUCAUUGUUUUUUUUUUCUUUCUAAUUAGCUACUUGUUCUUGCAGAGAUGUGAUACUAUAAUAUGGGAAACAAGUGAUGAAUCUAGGAACUUUACUGUUUGAAUUGUUGUCAGAAGCUUUAGGUUUGAAUCCAAACCAUCUAAAAGAUAUGGGUUGUGCUGAAGGGCUAAUUGCUCUUUGUCAUUAUUAUCCUUCUUAUCCCGAACCAGAAUUGACUGUGGGAACAACCAAGCAUUCUGAUAAUGAUUUCCUGACAAUGCUUCUACAAGACCAUAUUGGUGGUCUCCAAGUUCUUUAUGAAGAUAAAUGGAUUGAUAUAACACCUGUACCUGGAGCUCUCCUAGUUAAUGUUGGUGAUCUUCUUCAGGCAAGUUUUAUGCAUUCUUAUGUGUAUAUUUUUCCUUAAACUAUUAGUAAUGUACUAUAUUUACAUACCAAAAAGAUAGAUCAUAUAUCGAGAAGUGUGUACCUGAGUUUUAGAAGUAGAGUAUAUUUCUUUGCCGUCUAGGUUUUCAACUUUGGCUUACCGUCUAGCGAGUAACCUUUCAAAUAAUCAAACUGCCGAAGCAAAGACCUCUCAUCGGACAUAGUAGAUUGACCAAACCCAUCAUAGUCUAUUAAAAAUCUAAGAUAAUGAUAAAAAAAUGAAUAUGCCACUUAUUGAGCAACCAGAAUGUGUCCUGCAGUAAGCGAAACAGACACCAAAAUUACAAAAAUAGGACACACCAUGCAAACUAAUUUGGCUAAUAAAAUUUAUCAUGAUGCUAUUUUGGUUCUUUGUAAUUAAUCAAGUUUCUUGCAUUUUUAACUUGGUUUCAAGCAUAUAGCAUGCCUUAUCUUGCAUCUUAUUUGAGGUGUUAUGCUACGAUUUUUGUGUCUUCUUCUAUUGCUUACUUCACUAGUAAUUUUUUACUAGUUGAUCAUAUACUGGAUCUCUCAAACUUUACUAGCCAUUUUUAGUAGAAUAUAGUGAUACAUUCUCUAUAUAGAGAUAGAACAGUUGAUUCGAUUAGGUCCGAUCGUGAUUGAACCAAUAUUAAACCAUGACCUAAAGGUCUCAUUGAAUGGAUAAUAGGUGUAAACAUAUAUCUAAUUAUUUGAUUGUUUGAAUUGUAGCUUAUAACAAAUGACAAAUUCAAGAGUGUUGUACAUAGAGUAAUUGCCAAUCAAGUUGGUCCAAGAAUAUCUGUUGCAUGCUUUUUCUCCACAGGACUCAAAGCAUCUUCAAAACUCUAUGGACCAAUGAAGGAACUAUUAUCAGAAGACAAUCCUCCCAAAUACAGAGAAACUUCUGUUGCUGAUUAUGUAGCCUGCUUUCGAGCAAAAAGACUAGAUGGUACUUCUGCUCUUACACAUCACAUGAUUUGAAUAUAAUGUGGAAGAAGAAAAUUAUUACUAGCUCAUAUUAAUAAGUAAAAAUAUCAGUUCAUAUAAAUAGUUGAAUGAACUUGGUGAGUUCAUGGUGGAGUAGCUAUUAUUCAUCAAUUCCACAAGAUUAUGAUGUGAACUAGAACUUUGAUGUGGUUUCUUCUAUUUCAUGCUAUGGAUGAAUUACAAAGUAUAAACAUUCACUUAUCGUAAACAAUGGUCAUUUGAUUUACAAAACUUCGAUGUUUUCCUAGUAAACUUGCUAUAACUCGAAUGCUCUUGGGAAUAAUCGUUGGUCCGUAUUCUACAAUCUUUCGAACACCAAACCAAGCUUGAAAGAUGAAUGCAGAAUCUGAGUCGAG